UAGGGAAUAUUGGACAAUGGGGGCAACCCUGAUCCAGCCAUGCCGCGUGAGUGAAGAAGGCCCUCGGGUUGUAAAGCUCUUUUGUCCGGAAAGAAAAGCUUCGGGUUAAUACCCCGGGGUUCUGACGGUACCGGAAGAAUAAGCACCGGCUAACUUCGUGCCAGCAGCCGCGGUAAUACGAAGGGUGCAAGCGUUACUCGGAAUUACUGGGCGUACAGCGUGCGUAGGUGGUUGUUUAAGUCUGAUGUGAAAGCCCUGGGCUCAACCUAGGAAUGGCAUUGGAAACUGGGCAGCUAGGAUGCGGUAGAGGGUAGUGGAAUUCCCGGUGUAACAGUGAAAUGCGGAGAGAUCGGGAGGAACAUCUGUGGCGAAGG
Molecule: ribosomal RNA, 374 nt
Filed under: uncultured bacterium
Lineage: Bacteria
Description: bacterial SSU rRNA
Rfam family: Bacterial small subunit ribosomal RNA
Source: RNAcentral